GCGUCAAAGGGUCCCUAUCCUACAAUCCCAAACAAAAUCACCACCCCCUGACCCCCCACCAAGCAACUCUAUUUAAUAAUAGAAGAACCUAUGCUAAAACUAGUAAUAAGAAUCCCUUCUCCACACACACCCUUCAAUCAGAAAUAGAUAAACUACUGAGAAUUAACAAGCUACAAAAAGAAACAAAACAAAACCCAAGCAAAAAUUUCCACAAUUUGUGACACCAACACAGGAGUGUAUUAAGGACAGAUUAAAAGCCCAACAAGGAAUUCAGCUAAUAAACUCCAACUGUUUACCAAAAACAUAGCCUUUAGCAAAACAAGUAUUGAAGGUCUCGCCUGCCCAGUGAUUUUUUCAACGGCCGCGGUAUCCUAACCGUGCAAAGGUAGCGUAAUCACUUGUCUCCUAAAUAGAGACUUGUAUGAACGGCUAAAUGAGAGUCUAACUGUCUCCUAAGGCCAAUCAAUGAAACUGAUCCCCCAGUACAAAAGCUGGGAUAACAACAUAAGACGAGAAGACCCUGUGGAGCUUUAAAGACCCCCUAUUUUACUUUUCCACAAAACCACGGAAAUAACCACAUAUAAAUCAUAGGACUAUUUUUUAGUUGGGGCGACUUUGGAGCACAAAAAAACCUCCAAGAAAGGGCUUUCCCUAUCAAGGCCUACCAGCCUAAAUAAACUUUUCUUGACCCAGACACCUGAUCAAC
RNAcentral lists this ribosomal RNA (706 nucleotides) under Lialis jicari. RNAcentral describes it as "partial 16S ribosomal RNA". The stretch from base 275 to 444 matches the Rfam family "Archaeal large subunit ribosomal RNA", at positions 1878 to 2091 of the family's 2987-position model. The record is from RNAcentral. Lineage: Eukaryota; Metazoa; Chordata; Lepidosauria; Squamata; Pygopodidae.